This 305-nucleotide ribosomal RNA is filed under the name uncultured bacterium. Its description in RNAcentral is "bacterial SSU rRNA". It matches the Rfam family "Bacterial small subunit ribosomal RNA", at positions 335 to 638 of the family's 1533-position model. The record is from RNAcentral.
GUCCUACGGGGGGCAGCAGUGAGGAAUAUUGGUCAAUGGUCGGGAGACUGAACCAGCCAAGCCGCGUGAGGGAUGAAGGUACAGAGUAUCGUAAACCUCUUUUGUCAGGGAACAAAGGCGGGGACGUGUCCCCGGAUGAGUGUACCUGAAGAAUAAGCUCCGGCUAACUACGUGCCAGCAGCCGCGGUAAUACGUAGGGAGCAAGCGUUAUCCGGAUUUACUGGGUGUAAAGGGCGUGUAGGCGGGCAUGCAAGCCAGAAGUGAAAUCUGGGGGCUUAACCCCCAAACUGCUUUUGGAACUGCGG